Molecule: long non-coding RNA, 690 nt
Organism: Lolium perenne
Lineage: Eukaryota; Viridiplantae; Streptophyta; Magnoliopsida; Poales; Poaceae
Source: RefSeq, a predicted model, not a curated record
GCUGUUGGUUGAGUGCGACCUGGAGAAGUAGGGCUAGUUGGGCAUUGUGGCAGCCAAGUACUCAUGGCUGCUUAGAUACUACAAUGAUCCUACAAGAGGACCACCUAGGUCAAUGAAGCACCAUAGAACCCACCACCGGUCUCCUGCACCGACAACGUUGUUGGUAAUGGGUGUUGGUCUCAGACAAUGCAUGUCCACGUAGCUUGGAGCUGCUGCCAGCGUCUUCCACCGGGGGAUCCGGCAUUGCUGCUCGGCUGGCUGUGGCCCACCACGCUUCGUGUGCGGUGGUAGGCUUGGCUGGCUCUAGGCUUCACUAAGCUCGUCAUUGUGUUGCUACUGCGGUGGCGGUGUUGUCUCGGCCUUGGCUACACCCCUCUCCGGGAAUAGUCCUGAGGAUGGAGCGGCUAUCGCUGUCUUGAGGCUGGACUUGGUUGAGUGUGACCUGGAAAAUCAGGGUGAGUCAGGCAUUGUGGUGGGCUGGUGGCCAAGUGCUACAUGUCCUUAAACACUAUGAUGAGCUUACGAGAGCACCACCAAGGGAGCAUUCCCAAGCGUCGAGCGGCCACAGGUGGGCUAAGGGAGCAAUGUUGCUGGUUCUAGGCUGUUGUUGGUUGAGUGCAUCCUGGCUCCUGGGGAAGAAGGGCAGAAGUCUGAUAGGGCUUCAAGAGAUAGGGAAAACUGCGGUAAGAA